RNAcentral lists this ribosomal RNA (909 nucleotides) under bacterium enrichment culture. Its description in RNAcentral is "bacterial SSU rRNA". It matches the Rfam family "Bacterial small subunit ribosomal RNA", at positions 11 to 935 of the family's 1533-position model. The record is from RNAcentral.
GUUUGAUCAUGGCUCAGGACGAACGCUGGCGGCGUGCUUAACACAUGCAAGUCGAGCGAUGAAGCCCCUUCGGGGGUGGAUUAGCGGCGGACGGGUGAGUAACACGUGGGUAACCUGCCUCAAAGAGGGGGAUAGCCUCCCGAAAGGGAGAUUAAUACCGCAUAAAGCAGAAUUCCACAUGGAGUUUUGAUGAAAGGAGUAAUCCGCUUUGAGAUGGACCCGCGGCGCAUUAGCUAGUUGGUGGGGUAACGGCCUACCAAGGCAACGAUGCGUAGCCGACCUGAGAGGGUGAUCGGCCACAUUGGAACUGAGAGACGGUCCAGACUCCUACGGGAGGCAGCAGUGGGGAAUAUUGCACAAUGGGCGAAAGCCUGAUGCAGCAACGCCGCGUGAGUGAUGAAGGUCUUCGGAUUGUAAAGCUCUGUCUUCUGGGACGACAAUGACGGUACCAGAGGAGGAAGCCACGGCUAACUACGUGCCAGCAGCCGCGGUAAUACGUAGGUGGCAAGCGUUGUCCGGAUUUACUGGGCGUAAAGGGUGCGCAGGCGGAUAUUUGAGUGGGAUGUGAAAUCCCCGGGCUUAACCUGGGGGCUGCAUUCCAAACUGGAUAUCUAGAGUGCAGGAGAGGAGAAUGGAAUUCCUAGUGUAGCGGUGAAAUGCGUAGAGAUUAGGAAGAACACCAGUGGCGAAGGCGAUUCUCUGGACUGUAACUGACGCUGAGGCAUGAAAGCGUGGGGAGCAAACAGGAUUAGAUACCCUGGUAGUCCACGCCGUAAACGAUGAGUACUAGGUGUAGGAGGUAUCGACUCCUUCUGUGCCGCAGUUAACACAAUAAGUACUCCGCCUGGGAAGUACGGUCGCAAGAUUAAAACUCAAAAGGAAUUGACGGGGGGCCCGCACAAGCAGCGG